This 452-nucleotide ribosomal RNA is filed under the name Curtobacterium sp. LMG 2896. Its description in RNAcentral is "bacterial SSU rRNA". It matches the Rfam family "Bacterial small subunit ribosomal RNA", at positions 9 to 473 of the family's 1533-position model. The record is from RNAcentral. Lineage: Bacteria; Bacillati; Actinomycetota; Actinomycetes; Micrococcales; Microbacteriaceae.
GAGUUUGAUCCUGGCUCAGGACGAACGCUGGCGGCGUGCUUAACACAUGCAAGUCGAACGAUGAUGCCCAGCUUGCUGGGUGGAUUAGUGGCGAACGGGUGAGUAACACGUGAGUAACCUGCCCCUGACUCUGGGAUAAGCGUUGGAAACGACGUCUAAUACUGGAUAUGAUCACUGGCCGCAUGGUCUGGUGGUGGAAAGAUUUUUUGGUUGGGGAUGGACUCGCGGCCUAUCAGCUUGUUGGUGAGGUAAUGGCUCACCAAGGCGACGACGGGUAGCCGGCCUGAGAGGGUGACCGGCCACACUGGGACUGAGACACGGCCCAGACUCCUACGGGAGGCAGCAGUGGGGAAUAUUGCACAAUGGGCGAAAGCCUGAUGCAGCAACGCCGCGUGAGGGAUGACGGCCUUCGGGUUGUAAACCUCUUUUAGUAGGGAAGAAGCGAAAGUGAC